RNAcentral lists this unclassified non-coding RNA (746 nucleotides) under Melitaea cinxia (Glanville fritillary). Its description in RNAcentral is "misc RNA ENSMCXG00005002492.1". The record is from RNAcentral. Lineage: Eukaryota; Metazoa; Arthropoda; Insecta; Lepidoptera; Nymphalidae.
AGUCGAUAUCAAUUAUUUAUAAUAAUAAGUACUUUUAACAAUGGAAAAAUAGUACAUUCCUCAUAAAUAAUGAUUUCAUUUUUGACCUUACACGAAAAAAUAUUAAAAUUGUUAAAACAUUAUUUAAGCAUUUCCUUUUACCACAGCUACUAAUGUUUAAAAAAACUGUUAAGAUUACAAUUUUGUCAAUCAUUGACUAGACGUUUUUAUGAUGGCGGUGACGGGCGACUGGAACAAAUUAACAUUUUAAUUGUAUGUGCCAGGUCGUUUUAGCAGCCGACUUUCAUCUGACGAUCACUAGCUUUGGAAAAUCACUCAGGACAGCCGUGUGACGUCCAAUCGGGCGUGUGACAAGCAAUUAAUGGGUUAUAUUUUUACUAGCAAAGAAUGUGUUAAGUAGAACCUAAAAUUACAUGAUGUCUUUAAGAUCACGUAGUACGAAGUCGAAUAUAAAAGUUAUCUUAGACACAGAAAGUUUGAGGAAUAUAACACGAGAAAAUAAUAAUUUGCUUACCUACACCCUGCUAACAUUCGUGGUUGUGCUCGCAAUGUAUUUAUUGACUAAAGAUUGGAAAGGAUUUACAGCUCCGGAAGAAAUAGAUCUCGGUUCUGUAAGAGUUAUGCGGCACACGAUACGUCAAAAACAAAAUUGUCGUAAGAGUUGAUAAAUAAAAUAAAUGUAAAAAAUAGUAUAAACAAUUUAAUACUUCAUUGAUAUUUAUUUUGGCUUAUAAGAAACCAUAACA